Molecule: long non-coding RNA, 1152 nt
Organism: Passer domesticus (house sparrow)
Lineage: Eukaryota; Metazoa; Chordata; Aves; Passeriformes; Passeridae
Exons: 4
Source: RefSeq, a predicted model, not a curated record
CAGAAGGCUCAUACCAGCAGUAGUAUGAGAAUGGGACUUGGCCUCUGGCAAAGAGGCUCUUGACUAUUCCUGUUUCUCACUGAUGUAUUAACCACUAUCAUAUCUGGAUUUAUAUUUUACAGGCCUAUUUGGAAAAGGUAUACAAAUACGCUAAACUCUGGCCAAUCAAGUAAGAUACUAUAUCCAACUUCCUAAAGGCCUGGAGAGACUUGUCUCACCUACCACUGAAUCAGUCCGGUAGAGGUAAUUUUUCAACUUCUCCUUGAAGAUUGUUAAGAGAUUUUUGUUUCUCAUGAGAUUUUUGUUCCAUGAAAUUCUCUAUGGAAUGACAAUGCAGAGGCAAUUUAAAUCUCAAUAUAAGAGGCAAGAAUGAUGAUUUGGUGGGCAGCCUAUCUGGACCAGAUCUUGAAUGUGUGUAAGCCCAUGGAGGUCCAUGGUGGAACAGAGAUCCACCAGCAGCCUGUGGAACACACCCUGGAGCAGGUGAAUAUGCCCAAAGGAGGCUGUCCCAUGAGGGACCCACAUUGGAGCAGGUAAUAUGUGAGCUUCUGACAAUAGCCCUCAUUUCUCAUCUACCUGCACUGCUGCGGGAGAGUAAGUGGAGAAUUGGGAAAAAAAUUAUGCCUUGGAGUAAAAGAGAGGCAGGGGGAAGGUGGUUUUAUUUCUCAUUAUCCUUCUCUGAUUUGUUUGGUAAUAAAUUUCUGUAAUUUACCCAAGUUGAGUACGUUUUGUUUGUGAUGGCAAAUGAUCUCUCCCUGGCCCUUAUCUCAAGCCAUGAGUCUUUUAUCAGUUUUUUUCUCUCCUGUGCAACUGAGGAGGAAAGGGGUAGAGUGACUUAGGUGGGCACCCAGCCAGAGUCAGCCCAUCCUGUUUGCUUGUGACCACAUAAUACGGUACAAAGCCGUGGAAUUGGACCUAGACCACCUGAGCUAUCUUGUGCCUAUUGCUUUAAUUAUAUAACAUAUAGAGCAAUAUGCUCUGAUAAAGUUUGCAUCUAAAGUUAUGACUGUCUCAUACUGAAAAACCAUGGAUUUUGAUUAUCAUUCAAAUUAUUCAAGGUCAAGAGUAGUUUUAAAGUAUUACACCUCUCAGAUUUAAAUAUUUGCAAGAAAAUAAAAUCAAAGAAAAAAAAUCUAAUCCUUAUGUGAGAAG